UACGGAGGGUGCAAGCGUUAAUCGGAAUUACUGGGCGUAAAGCGCGCGUAGGCGGUUGUUUAAGUCGGAUGUGAAAGCCCUGGGCUCAACCUGGGAACUGCAUUCGAUACUGGGCAACUAGAGUAUGAAAGAGGGAGGUAGAAUUCCAUGUGUAGCGGUGAAAUGCGUAGAUAUGUGGAGGAAUACCAGUGGCGAAGGCGGCCUCCUGGUUCAAUACUGACGCUGAGGUGCGAAAGCGUGGGGAGCAAACAGG
This 253-nucleotide ribosomal RNA is filed under the name uncultured bacterium. Its description in RNAcentral is "partial 16S ribosomal RNA". It matches the Rfam family "Bacterial small subunit ribosomal RNA", at positions 524 to 776 of the family's 1533-position model. The record is from RNAcentral.